This 301-nucleotide ribosomal RNA is filed under the name uncultured bacterium. Its description in RNAcentral is "partial 16S ribosomal RNA". It matches the Rfam family "Bacterial small subunit ribosomal RNA", at positions 509 to 807 of the family's 1533-position model. The record is from RNAcentral.
CAGUCGCCGCGGUAAUACGAAGGGUGCAAGCGUUAAUCGGAAUUACUGGGCGUAAAGCGUGCGUAGGCGGUUUGUUAAGUCUGUUGUGAAAUCCCCGGGCUCAACCUGGGAAUGGCAAUGGAUACUGGCAAGCUAGAGUGUGUCAGAGGAUGGUGAAAUUCCCGGUGUAGCAGUGAAAUGCGCAGAUAUGCGGAGGAACACCGAUGGCGAAGGCAGCCCCCUGGGCCAACACUGACGCUCAUGCACGAAAGCGUGGGGAGCAAACAGGAUUAGAUACCCCAGUAGUCCCUGUCUCUUAUAC